AUAUAUACCAAAUCUACCAAAACUUUGUUUUCUGCUCCUUCGUUUCUGCGAGUUGGGUUUAGAGGUGAAAACUUAUCGCUGCUACAGAUGAAGAUGAAGAUGAAGAUCAUAUCUUCUGAGAUUAAGUCCCAAUUUUCUGUAGAAAUUUUCUUCUCCAUUGAACCGCUAAAAUGAACUGCUUCAACUAGCAAGGACAACUACAAGAGGGAUUUUAUGGUCGGAUUGAUCUUGAAUUAACAAAUUGGGGUUUUAAUUUUCUUCUUCAGUUCCACCAUGUUUGUGGUGCUUGGGAAGCUGAUGAUAUUUUGAAGUAGCAGCAAGAAGAAGAAGAAGAAGAAGCUCUCCUUCCUGUUUAGUAGUGAGAACUAAUAAUCAAAUGUCAAAGGUUUUGAGCGAAUUUGGAGCCGGGUAAUCAGAUGAGAAGUUCACUAGCUAUAUCAUGCUUUGCUUACCGAAAAAACACCAUUUUUCGACGAGAUGGCAAGCAGUAGUUGGAGACAAAACAUGAAUGCGGAACAGCUAGCCAAUCAUCGAAAAAUGAACCGUGAUCGACAAAGAAUACGUAGGCUAAAUAUGACGGAGGAGCAGAGAUCUAUUGUACACGACUCCAGCGUGAUCGUAUUCGGUAUAGAGACGCCAGGGAAGAGCUGAAGUUUCCUUCAAUAUCUACUGGCAACAAUGCUACACACCUGUUUGAGCAUGUUAUGAAACAACAUGUGCAGUAAGAAGAGGAGAGGAUAAUUGGUGUAUGUAAGAGCAUAUUGUUUGCUGACGUGCAACGCACGUGCACUCUACUUGUCUAUAUAAGGAGGCAAAAAAUAAAAGCAUCAAAUUUAUUGGAAAAAGGUGUUGCAUCAAGAUUUUUGGAAGAAUCAUAUUAUUGGGGAUUUAAAUCCUUUUGGA
Molecule: long non-coding RNA, 903 nt
Organism: Papaver somniferum (opium poppy)
Lineage: Eukaryota; Viridiplantae; Streptophyta; Magnoliopsida; Ranunculales; Papaveraceae
Exons: 3
Source: RefSeq, a predicted model, not a curated record